UACGUAGGUGGCGAGCGUUGUCCGGAUUUACUGGGCGUAAAGGGCGUGCAGGCGGUUUGCUAAGUCUAGGGUGAAAGCUCCCGGCUUAACUGGGAGAGGUCCUUGGAUACUGGCAGACUUGAGGAGGGUAGAGGAGAGUGGAAUUCCCGGUGUAGUGGUGAUAUGCGUAGAUAUCGGGAGGAACACCAGUGGCGAAGGCGGCUCUCUGGGCCCUACCUGAUGCUGAGACGCGAAAGCGUGGGGAGCGAACCGG
Molecule: ribosomal RNA, 253 nt
Filed under: uncultured bacterium
Lineage: Bacteria
Description: partial 16S ribosomal RNA
Rfam family: Bacterial small subunit ribosomal RNA
Source: RNAcentral